RNAcentral lists this long non-coding RNA (350 nucleotides) under Dermacentor andersoni. Its description in RNAcentral is "uncharacterized LOC126537455". Lineage: Eukaryota; Metazoa; Arthropoda; Arachnida; Ixodida; Ixodidae. The record is from RNAcentral.
CAGGACACAGUCCCUGUCCGCAUCAAAGGGGUCUACUUCAUAAACUGCCCACCUGUGACAGAGACCCUGUAUGGUCUUGUGAAAUCAUUUCUGUCGGAGAAGCUGCAGAAACGGCUACGUUUCAUUGGAAGUGAUUUGUCGGAACUUUGUGGAGACAUUCCUGCUGAACUGAUGCCACCAGAGUACGGAGGAAAACCGGAAACUUUCGACUUACAGAGACAAGAAAAUUUGUUCCUCGGGAAAGCGGAUCACUUCGAAAGAAUGCUGCGUUGUAGUUAUGAAGAAAAGUAAACAAAUUUUCAAAGCCUAGCUUGACGAAAGAUUGAACAUACAUAGGUACAUCCUAGUUU